GACGAACGCUGGCGGCGCGCCUAACACAUGCAAGUCGAACGAGCGAGAGAGAGCUUGCUUUCUUGAGCGAGUGGCGAACGGGUGAGUAACGCGUGAGGAACCUGCCUCAAAGAGGGGGACAACAGUUGGAAACGACUGCUAAUACCGCAUAAGCCCACGACCCGGCAUUGGGUUGAGGGAAAAGGAGUGAUCCGCUUUGAGAUGGCCUCGCGUCCGAUUAGCUAGUUGGUGAGGUAACGGCCCACCAAGGCGACGAUCGGUAGCCGGACUGAGAGGUUGAACGGCCACAUUGGGACUGAGACACGGCCCAG
RNAcentral lists this ribosomal RNA (311 nucleotides) under uncultured bacterium. RNAcentral describes it as "bacterial SSU rRNA". It matches the Rfam family "Bacterial small subunit ribosomal RNA", at positions 28 to 334 of the family's 1533-position model. The record is from RNAcentral.